AUUCAGGCAGCCUCCUGGAAUAAAGGAAACGUAUUACCCAUCAGCCUCCCCAAUCUAGCUCCUAUCACAUCGUCUUUUCUCUGGGCCCUGCCUGACUCUGUGUGCAAAGAAAACAUUUCGGAUCAGCUCCCUGUGUUUGGUCCUGUGCUGGAUGACAAGGAGUUGGAGCCAUUGCCAGCACUGCCCUUAACCACCGUACCUGCAGCUCUCAUGGUGCAAGCUACAGAGGAAGAAAAGGCUCCUGGCUUCUGAACGAAACCAAAGUAACUGUUUCCUGAAUUUUAGCUAAAUCGUCACCAC
RNAcentral lists this long non-coding RNA (300 nucleotides) under Fukomys damarensis (Damara mole-rat). RNAcentral describes it as "lncRNA (ENSFDAG00000027515.1)". Lineage: Eukaryota; Metazoa; Chordata; Mammalia; Rodentia; Bathyergidae. The record is from RNAcentral.